Molecule: ribosomal RNA, 229 nt
Filed under: uncultured bacterium
Lineage: Bacteria
Description: partial 16S ribosomal RNA
Rfam family: Bacterial small subunit ribosomal RNA
Source: RNAcentral
UGCGCAGGCGGAAAAGUAAGUCAGUGGUGAAAUCUCUCGGCUCAACCGAGAAACUGCCAUUGAUACUGCUUAUCUAGAGUUUAGUUGAAGUGGGCGGAGUGUAGCAUGUAGCGGUGAAAUGCAUAGAGAUGCUACAGAACACCGAUUGCGAAGGCAGCUCACUAAGCUAAAACUGACGCUCAGGCACGAAAGCGUGGGGAUCAAACAGGAUUAGAUACCCUGGUAGUCC